GAAUGUGAAGGUUAUACUCCGAAGACGACAACGACGACGAUGCACUACAAGAACGCGGAGCGCGCGCUCGAGCCAGCAGUGCACGCUCCUUACGCGUCUGGCCGGCAGCACGGGAAUUCGAAGCAAGAAGCCUGAGGUGUCAUCGUUUGCACAGUCGGGCUUCGGACUGGAAGAAUGAAGACUGUCACGGCCUGCGCGCUGCUGGCGGCCCUCUGGGUUUUGGUCGCACUCCCCGCCGAAUCGAGCGCUUCGUGGAGCGGCUGCCAGUACUUCAACUGCACACUCAGAACUCCCGUGCGGCCAAACGACAUUGGAAACUUCAUGGAGGCUUUCAACACAUUCAACUCUCAUCCGUGCAUCAACUGCACCUUCUACGGGAACAUCUUCCAGGCUCAGAUCCAUUCUGUAUGAGCCCGACGUGACAAAUGUCUAAAAAAUUUCUCGCAAAAAUAACUCAAUGAAAGAAUGUUUGAAGAAAACGUGUUGUUGU
Long non-coding RNA from Dermacentor silvarum, 490 nucleotides. RefSeq lists it as uncharacterized. The transcript has 3 exons. Lineage: Eukaryota; Metazoa; Arthropoda; Arachnida; Ixodida; Ixodidae. The record is from RefSeq and is a predicted model, not a curated record.